UACGGGGGGCGCGAGCGUUGUUCGGAAUUAUUGGGCGUAAAGGGCGCGUAGGCGGUGCGGUAAGUCUGGUGUGAAACCUCUGGGCUCAACUCAGAGCUGGCAUCAGAAACUGCCGUGCUAGAGUGUGGGAGAGGAGAGUGGAAUUCCCGGUGUAGCGGUGAAAUGCGUAGAUAUCGGGAGGAACAUCGGUGGCGAAGGCGGCUCUCUGGACCACAACUGACGCUGAAGCGCGAAAGCUAGGGGAGCAAACAGG
RNAcentral lists this ribosomal RNA (253 nucleotides) under uncultured bacterium. RNAcentral's name for it is "partial 16S ribosomal RNA". It matches the Rfam family "Bacterial small subunit ribosomal RNA", at positions 524 to 776 of the family's 1533-position model. The record is from RNAcentral.